AGAGAGUGCAAAGCUGUUCAGAUGAGUUACACCAGACAACUACACCUGGUUGUUGUGCUGAUGACAGCAGGAGCUCUGGCACCCAUUUUCUAGCUCAUAUGUGCAUCUUAUUUGCACCUAAAAAACCCAUGCCUGGAGCUGAAUGUCAGUGUCGUGCUUAGUUUACAACAGAGGAUUCUGAGGGGGUGGUUCAGAACACCCAUUAAGUGGGCAAGGAAUCUCUGCUGCUGAAAUCAGAUGCUUCCAGCAAGAUGAUAUUUCUAUGGGGGAGUUAAUGAGAAGAGGAGGAAGAUUGAGAAGAGAAGAGGAGUGGAGCUUUUGUACAGGAUCCUGGAUUAUUAUAAAACAGCUGGUCAUGACAAAUAUUUGUGAGCAGUGGAUUGUAAGUCAGAGAUACAGAAAUAUUGCAGCUAAAAGGCAGUAUAGACACAGUGUAUGUGGACAGAAGCUUCUGCUCUGUGGGAAGACACCAGGCCAUCUGUGUGUGAAGCAUAAAGAUUAUGGACAAAAGGCCAUUAAGAAUGGGUGCGGGCCCAAGUUAUGUCUACAAAAAUGGUGCAGAUACUUGAACAAUUGCUCUUCCUUAAUCCACAUUAAUGCAUCCAUCACCCUGGAGUAGACUUGUACUGGUGAGACUGGGCAGAAUGAGUAAGUGGCCAUCUUCACUUAUCCAUGCAGACAAAUCCUCCUCCGGCAUCCUUUCAUUUUCACAAGUGCCAAAUUUUCUGCAAGCCCUGCAAACCAAGCCACACUCAUGAAAGGUGGGCUGAAUGCACCCUAACCACAAGCAUCACCCUGUAACCAAAGAAACAUGUGUCAUUGUUUUCUCUCUUUCUCUGCUCUGCAGUUUUUUGCAAUAAUGGUGUUUUGAGUCAAUCUUUGGACCAUCUCUCCUCUAUUCCCAGAAUUAGAUUCAUGAGCAUCAGACUAGUUGAUGGGAAGGAAAUAAUUGGUGAAGAAAGCAUGGUUAAUCUCACUGUUCUUUGGAUCUUUCUGUUCUUUCUUCCACUUUUCCUUACAUCACUCAGAUGGGAAAAAUAUUAGUGAUCUGGAGGCGGCUGCAGCCACAGGAGUGCCUAUCUUCUAUUUCAUCCCUACAGACUCCCCUAAUGAACCUUGGAUUUACCAGGGCUCUUUGCUGCCUUUACUCCAUUAAAAAGCUGUCAUCUGCCAACAGAAUGAGAGAGAACCUGCACUUCAGAGUUCUAAAGCAAACUAUCAGCUGGUUCUGAUGGGCUAUAAGCACACAGAAGCAAAGUACUAGGAAGGCUGUGAGAGGUGGUGAGACACGAAACCAGCAGUCUGCCUUUGCUAGAGAGGAAGGUUGACAACCAUAGAGCUAGACAAGUCUUAUCCCAGUAAUCACAUACAGCUGUGUUUGCUCAACAUAGUGCACUAAAAACAUGCAAAAGCAAGCCCUGGAGCCUGCCACAGAGAUAUCGAUGAGCAGGCACUUGAAAAUGCUGGGUGCUUGUUAAUGUUUAACGAGCGAGUCCUCAUCUGACUUCAUGGCAUUGAGCUUUAUUUAUCUAAUCCCUAAAUUCACCAAGGGAAAAGAACGCUCCCUAUUAGCCUACGAUAAAUAAGUAAAGGGGAAGACCUGGCAGAGUCUU
Chrysolophus pictus (golden pheasant) is the source of this 1613-nucleotide long non-coding RNA. NCBI's taxonomy places the organism in Eukaryota, Metazoa, Chordata, Aves, Galliformes, Phasianidae. The record is from Ensembl.